This 301-nucleotide ribosomal RNA is filed under the name uncultured bacterium. RNAcentral describes it as "partial 16S ribosomal RNA". It matches the Rfam family "Bacterial small subunit ribosomal RNA", at positions 509 to 808 of the family's 1533-position model. The record is from RNAcentral.
CAGCCGCCGCGGUAAAACAGAGGAUGCAAGCGUUAUCCGGAAUGACUGGACGUAAAGCGUCUGUAGGUGGCUUUUCAAGUCCGCCGUCAAAUCCCAGGGCUCAACCCUGGACAGGCGGUGGAAACUACCAAGCUGGAGUACGGUAGGGGCAGAGGGAAUUUCCAGUGGAGCGGUGAAAUGCGUUGAGAUCGAAAAGAACACCAACGGUGAAAGCACUCUGCUGGGCCGACACUGACACUGAGAAACGAAAGUUAGGGGAGAAAAUGGGAUUAGAUACCCCUGUAGUCCCUGUCUCUUAUAC